RNAcentral lists this transfer RNA (66 nucleotides) under Friesea gretae. RNAcentral describes it as "tRNA-Phe". The record is from RNAcentral. Lineage: Eukaryota; Metazoa; Arthropoda; Collembola; Poduromorpha; Neanuridae.
AUUUUUGUAGCUUAAUUAUAGAGCGUAGUGUUGAAGCCACUAAAGUAGAUUUAAUUCUCGAAGAUG